This 521-nucleotide ribosomal RNA is filed under the name uncultured Pleosporales. RNAcentral describes it as "eukaryotic LSU rRNA". The stretch from base 156 to 309 matches the Rfam family "5.8S ribosomal RNA". The record is from RNAcentral. Lineage: Eukaryota; Fungi; Ascomycota; Dothideomycetes; Pleosporales.
GGAGGAUCAUUAUCGUAGGGCUUCGGCCCUGUCGAGAUAGAACCCUUGCCUUUUUGAGUACCUUUCGUUUCCUCGGCAGGCUCGCCUGCCAAUGGGGACCACAAAAAACACUUUGCAGUACCUGUAACAGUCUGAACAAACGAAACAAAAAUUAAAACUUUCAACAACGGAUCUCUUGGUUCUGGCAUCGAUGAAGAACGCAGCGAAAUGCGAUAAGUAGUGUGAAUUGCAGAAUUCAGUGAAUCAUCGAAUCUUUGAACGCACAUUGCGCCCUUUGGUAUUCCUUAGGGCAUGCCUGUUCGAGCGUCAUUUAAACCUUCAAGCUAAGCUUGGUGUUGGGUGACUGUCCGCUUCACUGCGGACUCGCCUCAAAAUUAUUGGCGGCCGGUACAUUGGCUUCGAGCGCAGCAGAAACGCGAACUCGGGCCCGUCGUAUUGGCUCCCAGAAGCUAUCUUCACAAUUUUGACCUCGGAUCAGGUAGGGAUACCCGCUGAACUUAAGCAUAUCAAUAAGCGGAGGA